GAGGUUAAGCGACUAAGCGUACACGGUGGAUGCCCUGGCAGUCAGAGGCGAUGAAGGACGUGCUAAUCUGCGAUAAGCGCCGGUAAGGUGAUAUGAACCGUUAUAACCGGCGAUUUCCGAAUGGGGAAACCCAGUGUGAUUCGUCACACUAUCAUUAACUGAAUCCAUAGGUUAAUGAGGCGAACCGGGGGAACUGAAACAUCUAAGUACCCCGAGGAAAAGAAAUCAACCGAGAUUCCCCCAGUAGCGGCGAGCGAACGGGGAGGAGCCCAGAGCCUGAAUCAGCAUGUGUGUUAGUGGAAGCGUCUGGAAAGGCGCGCGAUACAGGGUGACAGCCCCGUACACAAAAGCGCAUGUGCUGUGAGCUCGAUGAGUAGGGCGGGACACGUGGUAUCCUGUCUGAAUAUGGGGGGACCAUCCUCCAAGGCUAAAUACUCCUGACUGACCGAUAGUGAACCAGUACCGUGAGGGAAAGGCGAAAAGAACCCCGGCGAGGGGAGUGAAAAAGAACCUGAAACCGUGUACGUACAAGCAG
RNAcentral lists this ribosomal RNA (535 nucleotides) under Salmonella enterica subsp. enterica serovar Newport. RNAcentral's name for it is "partial 23S ribosomal RNA". It matches the Rfam family "Bacterial large subunit ribosomal RNA", at positions 1 to 573 of the family's 2925-position model. The record is from RNAcentral. Lineage: Bacteria; Pseudomonadati; Pseudomonadota; Gammaproteobacteria; Enterobacterales; Enterobacteriaceae.